Long non-coding RNA from Sapajus apella (tufted capuchin), 1246 nucleotides. RefSeq lists it as uncharacterized. The transcript is spliced from 3 exons. NCBI's taxonomy places the organism in Eukaryota, Metazoa, Chordata, Mammalia, Primates, Cebidae. The record is from RefSeq and is a predicted model, not a curated record.
GCCCGCGGGCCGCCGGAGGGGCUGGCGGCGGCUGAGACGGCGGUCCCGGGGUAGGUGCGGGUCCCUGGGCGCCUGAGUUUCUGAGUGAGCGCGAUGCAUGUUUAAAAGCCAGGAGGGCGAUCCGCGGAGCCAGGAGCAGGCGGAGGCCCUGCAGGGCGGCUGCCCUCUCCGUGGGACGUUAACGUUUCGGGUGAAGUCCACCAGCGUUUCCGAGGGGAGGGCGCCCCCCAGGUCGGGCGGACGCCAAUAUGAAGGCGAAUCAUGUUCAGACCCAGGUGAAGUUUCCUGCUGACCCAGGCUCUCACCAGCAGAUUCCCCUAACUGUCCUCCUGAGGGUGUCUGGAGUUUCAGCGCUGUGUGCUCUUGGGCUCCAGGCUGGGGCACCACUGACUCCUGCUGUCCAGGGCUUUUAGUGACUCUCCAAGGCACUGAUGUAGAAUCUUCCCCAUUUGAUGCACCAAGAGCAGCCUCACAUGGCGUGGGCUGACCUGAAGAGCUGCCAGGUCCAACAGGAAUGUCCUACAGUUGGAAUCAUAAAAUAUAUAGGUUUCCCAACUGGCUUCUUGCUCACAUGAUGGACUUAAACUUCCUCCAUGUCUUUUUUGUGGCUCGAUGGCUCAUUUUAAAAAAUCACUGAAUUAGAUUUCAUGGCAUGGCUACAACACAGUUUGUUUAUUCCUUCACUUGCUGAAAGACACCUUGGGUCUUCCAAGUUUUCACACUGAUGAAUAAAAUUGCUGUAAGUACUUAUGUGCAGGAUUUUGAGUGCACUUCAGUUUUCCAAAGUGACUGUACCACUUUGAUUUUCACUAACUAUGGAGAGUUCUAGCUGCUCCUCAUCUUUGACUGCAUUUGGUGUGUUUACUUUCUGCAUGUUAGCCAUUCUAAUAGGUUUGCAGAGACAGCACAUUGUUUUAAUGUGCAAUUCCCUAACGACAGAUGAUUUUGAGAAUCUUUUUUAUAUGCUUAUGUGCCAUCUGCAUAUUUUAUUGGUGAUGUGCUCAGAUCUGUCACCUAUUUUUAUUAUUUUUUUGACUUGUGGGUGUUUAGUUCUCAGAAUUCUUCAUCUAUUUUGGACAGCAGUGUUUUAUCAGAUUAUUUUGUAAAUAUUUUCUGCCAGUCUUUGACUUGCUUUUUCCAUUAUCUUCACAGUGUCUUUCACAGAGCAGAAGUUUUUCAUUUUCAUGAGGCUCAACUUUAUUUUUUUCAUUCGUGGAUUGUGCUUUUCUCCUAUAUGAUCUCCUAG